This 549-nucleotide long non-coding RNA is filed under the name Portunus trituberculatus (swimming crab). Its description in RNAcentral is "uncharacterized LOC123515987, transcript variant X1". The record is from RNAcentral. Lineage: Eukaryota; Metazoa; Arthropoda; Malacostraca; Decapoda; Portunidae.
GUUUUGGAUGGUGCCGCUCGCUAUUGGCUAGUGGCUCUUGUAGCACAGAUUUCUGGAUAACUCCCAGACAAUGGGAGGUAAAAAAGGGACGCAAGCCUGUCCCGAUACGGACCUCAUUUAAACACAAAUCUCGUUUAAACACAAAGAAAAAAGUUGCUUUACCUCCUAAAUAAGUGAAGGAACACCUUUAACAACUGAAUAUGGCAAGAGAAUGAUGGAGAGCUGCAUCAUGGCGGUGUGAGGGAAGGUGCAAGUGUGUGUCGGGCAGCCCAGAGAUGCUUGGCUUUCACCACCACCACCACCUCAUCUGCAACCUUCUCCACCACACCACACUCACGCAAUGCCAAUACCAGUGCCUGGGAAUAGAAACAGUUCCACCUUACACAGAAGCAAUAUGUUAACCUACACACUGGCACCUAAGCAUUAUAGGCCCAUGAAAACUGCAAGUGCUGUGUGAGGAUAUUAUCAAGAAGAUGUCUGGUGUGGGCAAGGCCAGCUGGGGCAGGAGAGGAAACAGGUUUGGCUGUGAUGAAGUUGAGUGUCUUAUGA